GAGGGCGUUCCCAUUUUGUAAUCAUAUUAUUUCUGGCAGCAACAGACAUCUCGGCCCCCAAAUUGACACUCCUCUAUUCCUCUAGCUCCUUCCACGGUACAAAGUGGCAGCAGGCUCGCUUUUUUAUUAUUCCAACAUAAAUUAUUUCUGGCUUCCCACAAGCUCCCCAAAAUCAUGACUGCUUCCUCCAUUUUUGCUUUUGCAUUGCUCUUUCUUUGCUCUUCAAACCACGCUACAAAAUCUCCUAUUACAUCCUGCCAACCAAAAUUUGAUUGAAUUCAAUAUUAUUUUGCAAACUGACAAUCUACCGAGCAAUGUUUCACCCUCUCUGGCGUUUGCAGACAUCAAGGUAAAUUGAACUAGCUACUGAUUUUUUCUUGAAAAAGCUCCACAUGUAGGUAGAAUAUUUCUCAAACUCAUCAGCUAAAAUUACACACCUU
This 440-nucleotide long non-coding RNA is filed under the name Capsicum annuum. RNAcentral's name for it is "long non-coding RNA (CANN_LNC004587)". Lineage: Eukaryota; Viridiplantae; Streptophyta; Magnoliopsida; Solanales; Solanaceae. The record is from RNAcentral.